RNAcentral lists this long non-coding RNA (275 nucleotides) under Mytilus galloprovincialis (Mediterranean mussel). The record is from RNAcentral. Lineage: Eukaryota; Metazoa; Mollusca; Bivalvia; Mytilida; Mytilidae.
UAAAUGUGUUUUAUGAAUUUAUUUCAAUCUUAAUCAUCAAUUUCUUCGUCUGUUGAAACCAUUAAGAUUUUUUCUCAGUACCGUUUUAUUUGUAUAAAGGGAAGUAACACCACUACUUACCGUGUAUGAAAUAAGCCCCGCCUCUCUUCUAACCUAAUAUGGAAUAUAAAGGGACGUAACACCACUACUAACCAUGUAUGAAAUAAGCCCCACCUCCCUUCUAACCUAAUAUGAAAUAUACACAGUCUCCACGCGGACUCUUUUAACCAAUCAUA